UACGGAGGGUGCAAGCGUUAUCCGGAUUCACUGGGUUUAAAGGGUGCGUAGGAGGGCAGGUAAGUCAGUGGUGAAAUCUCCGAGCUUAACUUGGAAACUGCCGUUGAUACUAUCUGCCUUGAAUAUUGUGGAGGUGAGCGGAAUAUGUCAUGUAGCGGUGAAAUGCUUAGAUAUGACAUAGAACACCACUUGCGAAGGCGGCUCGCUACACAUAUAUUGACACUGAGGCACGAAAGCGUGGGGAUCAAACAGG
Molecule: ribosomal RNA, 253 nt
Filed under: uncultured bacterium
Lineage: Bacteria
Description: partial 16S ribosomal RNA
Rfam family: Bacterial small subunit ribosomal RNA
Source: RNAcentral